RNAcentral lists this ribosomal RNA (253 nucleotides) under uncultured bacterium. RNAcentral describes it as "partial 16S ribosomal RNA". It matches the Rfam family "Bacterial small subunit ribosomal RNA", at positions 524 to 776 of the family's 1533-position model. The record is from RNAcentral.
UACGAAGGGGGCUAGGGUUGCUCGGAAUUACUGGGCGUAAAGGGCGCGUAGGCGGACAGUUUAGUCAGAGGUGAAAGCCCAGGGCUCAACCUUGGAAUUGCCUUUGAUACUGGCUGUCUUGAGUUCGGUAGAGGUGAGUGGAACUGCGAGUGUAGAGGUGAAAUUCGUAGAUAUUCGCAAGAACACCAGUGGCGAAGGCGGCUCACUGGCCCGAUACUGACGCUGAGGUGCGAAAGCGUGGGGAGCAAACAGG